UACGGAGGGGGCUAGCGUUAUUCGGAAUUAUUGGGCGUAAAGGGCGCGUAGGCGGCCCGGUAAGUCAAAGGUGAAAUCCCUCGGCUCAACUGAGGAACUGCCUUUGAAACUGUCGGGCUUGAGGCCGGGAGGGGGUAGCGGAAUUCCCAGUGUAGCGGUGAAAUGCGUAGAUAUUGGGAAGAACACCGAUGGCGAAGGCAGCCAUCUGGACCGACACUGACGCUGAGGCGCGAAAGCGUGGGGAGCAAACAGG
Molecule: ribosomal RNA, 253 nt
Filed under: uncultured bacterium
Lineage: Bacteria
Description: partial 16S ribosomal RNA
Rfam family: Bacterial small subunit ribosomal RNA
Source: RNAcentral